RNAcentral lists this ribosomal RNA (1131 nucleotides) under uncultured organism. RNAcentral's name for it is "bacterial SSU rRNA". It matches the Rfam family "Bacterial small subunit ribosomal RNA", at positions 26 to 1156 of the family's 1533-position model. The record is from RNAcentral.
AGGAUGAACGCUAGCGGGAGGCUUAACACAUGCAAGUCGAGGGGUAACGAUGUAGCUUGCUACAGGCGACGACCGGCGCACGGGUGCGUAACGCGUAUGCAACUUUCCUUAUACAGGAGGAUAGCCCAGGGAAACUUGGAUUAAUACUCCAUAAUGUCACCAGGUCGCAUGGCCAGGUGAUUAAAACUCCGGUGGUAUAAGAUGGGCAUGCGUAGGAUUAGCUAGUAGGUAGUGUAACGGACUACCCAGGCAACGAUCCUUAGGGGUUCUGAGAGGAUUAUCCCCCACACUGGUACUGAGACACGGACCAGACUCCUACGGGAGGCAGCAGUGAGGAAUAUUGGUCAAUGGGCGCGAGCCUGAACCAGCCAUCCCGCGUGCAGGAUGACGGCCCUAUGGGUUGUAAACUGCUUUUCUACGCCAAGAAAGGCCCGUACGAGUACGGGAUUGACGGUAGCGUAGGAAUAAGCAUCGGCUAACUCCGUGCCAGCAGCCGCGGUAAUACGGAGGAUGCAAGCGUUAUCCGGAUUCAUUGGGUUUAAAGGGUGCGCAGGCGGGCUUGUAAGUCAGUGGUGAAAUACUGCCGCUUAACGGUAGAAUUGCCAUUGAUACUGCGAGUCUUGAGUAUGGUUGAGGUAGGCGGAAUGUGCAGUGUAGCGGUGAAAUGCACAGAGAUUGCACAGAACGCCGAUUGCGGAGGCAGCUUACUAAGCCAUAACUGACGCUGAGGCACGAAAGCGUGGGGAGCGAACAGGAUUAGAUACCCUGGUAGUCCACGCUGUAAACGAUGUUCACUCGCUGUUUGCGAUACACAGUAAGCGGCUGAGCGAAAGCAUUAAGUGAACCACCUGGGGAGUACGAUCGCAAGGUUGAAACUCAAAGGAAUUGACGGGGGCCCGCACAAGCGGAGGAACAUGUGGUUUAAUUCGAUGAUACGCGAGGAACCUUACCUGGGCUUAAAUGUAGGCUGCAUGGAGUAGAAAUACUUCUUUCCUUCGGGACUGCUUACAAGGUGCUGCAUGGUUGUCGUCAGCUCGUGCCGUGAGGUGUCGGGUUAAGUCCCAUAACGAGCGCAACCCUUAUCGUUAGUGCUAGCCAGGUAAAGCUGAGGACUCUAGCGAGACUGCCACC